This 253-nucleotide ribosomal RNA is filed under the name uncultured bacterium. RNAcentral's name for it is "partial 16S ribosomal RNA". It matches the Rfam family "Bacterial small subunit ribosomal RNA", at positions 524 to 776 of the family's 1533-position model. The record is from RNAcentral.
UACGGGGGGGGCAAGCGUUGUUCGGAAUUACUGGGCGUAAAGGGCUCGUAGGCGGCCCUCUCAGUCGGAUGUGAAAUCCCCAGGCUUAACCUGGGAAUGGCAUCCGAUACUGGAGGGCUUGAAUUCGGGAGAGGGAUGCAGAAUUCCAGGUGUAGCGGUGAAAUGCGCAGAUAUCAGGAGGAACACCGAUGGCGAAGGCAGGUCUCUGGGCAUUAACUGACGCUGAGGAGCGAAAGCAUGGGGAGCGAACAGG